This 415-nucleotide ribosomal RNA is filed under the name Lissachatina fulica (giant African snail). RNAcentral describes it as "partial large subunit ribosomal RNA". It matches the Rfam family "Bacterial large subunit ribosomal RNA", at positions 1846 to 2569 of the family's 2925-position model. Lineage: Eukaryota; Metazoa; Mollusca; Gastropoda; Stylommatophora; Achatinidae. The record is from RNAcentral.
UUUUAAGCAACCCCUGCCCGGUGAGUUAUAGAAACUUUAACGGCCGCAGUACCUUGACUGUGCAAAGGUAGCAUAAUAAUUUGUCCUCUAAUUAAGGUCUGGAAUGAAGGGGGUCACAGGGGAGAGCUGUCUCCAAUAAGGUUAAUUUAACUUUCUUAUCAGGUGAAAAUUCCUGAGCCUCCGAUGAAAGACGAGAAGACCCUUAGAGUUUUUAUUAUAACUUGAUAUAUUAAGAUUCUUGUUCUGUUUUUGUUGGGGCGACAGGGUUACAAUAGAUAACUUACCCUACCAUAUUUUUAUAUGGCGAUCAUUAUACUUUUAAAUAAGCUACCUAAGGGAUAACAGCGUAAUCUUUUUUUUUUUGGUUUGCAACCUCAAUGUUGGACUAGGGGCCUACUGGUUAGUUACCAUUAUG